Molecule: ribosomal RNA, 391 nt
Filed under: uncultured bacterium
Lineage: Bacteria
Description: bacterial SSU rRNA
Rfam family: Bacterial small subunit ribosomal RNA
Source: RNAcentral
AUUGAACGCUGGCGGCAUGCCUAACACAUGCAAGUCGAACGGCAGCACAGCAGUAGCAAUACUGUGGGUGGCGAGUGGCGGACGGGUGAGGAAUACGUCGGAAUCUGCCCAGUCGUGGGGGAUAACUAGCCGAAAGGUUAGCUAAUACCGCAUACGACCGAGAGGUGAAAGCGGGGGACCGCAAGGCCUCGCGCGAUUGGAUGAGCCGACGUCGGAUUAGCUAGUUGGCGGGUAAAGGCCCACCAAGGCGACGAUCCGUAGCUGGUCUGAGAGGAUGAUCAGCCACACUGGAACUGAGACACGGUCCAGACUCCUACGGGAGGCAGCAGUGGGAAUAUUGGACAAUGGGCGCAAGCCUGAUCCAGCAAUGCCGCGUGUGUGAAGAAGGCCU